AAUGAUUAUGGCAUUUUCUUUGGGAUAUGUUAUUGUUACUUUUAUUGUCAUGAUUGUUAAGUUGUUUGUGAGUCUCUAUUUGUUCAGUUGCAUUUCUUUGGCAUACUUUAUCACACCCAUGAUAGAUUGUAAAAAUAAGGAAUAUCAUGGAGUAGUUCCCAUUGUGACUUAGUGGGUUAAGAACCUGACAUAGUGUCUAUGAGGAUGUGGGGUUGAUCCCUGGCCUCAUUGCUCAGUGAGUUAAGGAUCCAGUGUUGCCCCAGAUAGUAGUGUAGGCCAUAAGCUACAGCUUCAGUUUGACCCCUCACCUGGGAACUUCCAUAUGCCACAUGUGUGGCCAUGAAAAUGAAAAAAGAAAAAAAGGGGGAAAAAAGGGAUAUCAUAAAAACAGCAAGUCAACAUGAAAGUAGGCUGUCUUUUAAGGACCUCCACUUAACUGACCUACUGAUGCAUUAACUCUUGCGACAAGGUGGCUACCCUGUUAUGCUUGAGGAUUUUGUUUUCAGAACUUUUUUUUUUAAUGGCCUCAACUCAGUAUACAGAAGUUCUGGACCAGUGAUUGAACCCAAUUGAUUCUGCAGCUGAGACAACACCAGAUUCUUUAACCCACUGUGCUAGGCAGGCGAUCGAACCUGCACCUCUAUGGCAACCUGAAGCAGUUCAAGCCUUUAAUUGAAAGUUGACAGAUACAACAAAGGAAUAAAGAGUCUCAUCCAAUAUAAGAGUCUGGUAUCUAAAUGAUAACAAAAUUAAGUCAGAAAUGACAAGCUGCUGGAUUUUUCUGUUGUCUUUUUUUUUUUCUUUUUGGUAAUCUGAGGUCUUAGAUUUUAACAUUAAAUCAGUUUAUCCAGAAAUUGUACAUAAAAAUGGACUGGGAUGAAUUCAAGACAGUAAGGAUAGUAUUUUCAAACAGUAUUUUUAGAUAAAUCUAAUCAUGCCUUUCAGCAUUCAAAACCUAAGCCCCACCACACAAAGCUGUACCACUAUAAACAAAGGUCCACAGCCUAAGAGAGAUAGAGGGAAUGAAUACUCUUUGAAAGUUCUUUCUAGCUAGAAAAUAAAUACGGCCAAACAAUGGAGCACGGUUGUGGUAUUUUUCAGACAGGAGCUAAGUUCAGUAUGUUGUGUUGCUAGUACAGCUUAGUCUGCAAAUGUUCUAGUUCUCAGCAGGGUGUGGGGAGGAGCCCCAGUUUACUUUACCUGUAACCAUAAAUACUGGAGGAAGAUGAAGUUUAAAAGGUUUUUUUUUUUUUCAUUCUAAGGUUUACUUUUGGGUUUCUAAGGACUCCACGCCCCUCAGGAAGUCGAGGCAAACCAUGCAUUUGUUUUCACUACUAUAAAGUUACAAUAACUAACUUUGAUUGGUUUUAGAAACACAUCGAAAAAGGUUGUCUUUGUCAGCAAGCUAUUAAAAAUAGACUGUCGAUUAACCCCUGCUCAAGGUCUGAUGUUUAACUUCUUGAAGUAAACAUUUGCAGGUCACAGCAGUCAUUCAGUAGUUUUUACAUAAAAUUCUCUUCAGGUGAAGAGGUAAAAGCAUUAAUGGUAAACCACACGUCUGACGGAAUUAAGUGUAUUAGUUCCCCGUGUUUAAGAGUUGAAAGUGAAUUGAACUUGCGAAUGAAAUGUCUCUUAGAUUCUAAGCUGUAAAUUCAUAAAAAUUUCAAGAAAAUACUUAUAAUUUCACAAUUUCAAUAUGAAACCAUAAUUUCUGAAAUUAAAAAGUUUGCAGCAGAAAACUAUAAAAUCUUUACCAAGUUUUAAAAAGCAUUUUAAGUGUGUGUAUUAAGUUUCUAGGACAUGGUAGGAAUCUGGUAGCUGCUAGAUUUCUGGAAAUAAUUACCUGCAAGGAGAUUAUUAACACCUCUCAACUAGUUAGUGGCUCAGAUCUAUGCUAUUGUUUGUUGGUAAAGGGGCUAUUCAUUCAUAAAGCUGGACCCACCCAACCAAACAAAGAGACUUUUGGUGGCUAUUCAGGUGGACUCCAGGCCAAUACAAGGGACUGCUCAUUUCCUCAGGACUGAGCUUUUGAUCAGUGCUGUGUGGCCAAGCUAAAAAUUUUGAUGGGAUUUUAAACAAGGCUUUUGUGGUAUUUCGGAAGUCGCCAUCAAAUAUCCUCCACUAAGGAAGCAAAGUAACCCGAUAUAAAUGGAGUCAGACAAAUUUAUUAAGGAAAUUCCCCUCUGUUACUACAAAGUGCAUAGAAUUCUUUGGCAUCUGUCAAGGCUGAUGAAUAUUUUACAAAUAAAUUAUUCACUUUAGCAAAUCUGAGGAUGAGGGGAUGGGUCGUCUUGUCCUUUUUUUGGGGGGGGCCCCGCACCCGCUGCACAUGGAGGUUCCCAGGCUAGGGGUCAAAUGGGAGCUGUAGCCGCAGGCCUACACCACAGCCAUAACAACUUGGGAUCAGAGCCUCAUCUGUGACCUACACCACAGCUCAUGGCUACACGGGACCCUUAACCCACUGAAUGAGGCCAGGGAUUGAACCCGCAUCCUCAUGGAUACUGGUCAGAUUUAUUAACCACCGAGCCAGGAUGGGAACUCCAGGAUGGGUACUUCAGGAUGAGUCUUAUUUACAACUCUUGAGUUUUAGUAACUAAAAUGAGAUUCAGUUUGCAAGGUGCUGGGUUCACAGAAAACAGGCUGACAAAUCUCCCAUUACUCUGGACUUUUUACUCUGUGGAAACUAAACAUCUUUCUACAGUAUAUUUUUACAAAUUUAAAUUAGUGUUUUGAGGGAAAUGGGGUACUAAGAAGAAAAUAACAGAUGGGAACUAAUUACACAGAGUGGUCAGAGAAGACCUCUUUGAGUUGGGGACUUUUUUUCCUUCUAUUUUUUUAAUCGAAGUAUAAUCGAUGUAUAAUAUUAUGUAAGUUACAGGUGUACUAUAUAGUGGUUCACAAUUUUAAAAGUUAUACUCCAUAUAUAGUUAUUAUAAAAUAUUGGCUAUAUUUCUGUGUCAUACAAUCCUUUUAGCUUAUUUUCUACAUAAGAGUUUUGACUCCUAAUCCCCUUCUCUUCUAUUGCCCUCCUCCCUUCCCUCUCCCCACUGAUAACCACUAGUUUGUUCUCUGUAUCUGUGAGUCUGCUUCUUUUUUGUUAUAUCUACUAGUUUGUUGUAUUUAGAUUCCACAUAUGUGAUACCAUAUAGUAUUUGUCUUCCUCUUGUCUGAUUUAUUUCACUUAGCAUAAUACCCUUCAAGUCUAUCUAUGUUGCUGCAAAUGCCAAAAUUCCAUUCUUCUUUACAGCUGAGUAUUAUUCCAUUGUGUAUAUAUACCACAUCUUCUUUAUCCAUUCAUCGGUUGAUGCUUUGGUUACUUCCAUAUCUGGACAAUUUUAAUAAUGCUGCUAUGAACACUGGGAUGCAUGUAUCUUCUCAAAUUAGUAUUUUUGUAUUUCUCAAAUAUAUACCCAGGAAUGGAAUUGCUGGGUCAUGCGUAGUUUAGUUUUUUGAGGAUCCUCCAUACUGUCUUCCACAGUGGCUGCAUCAACUUACAUUCCCACCAACGCAAGGUUUCUCUUUUCUCCACAUCCUUGCCAACAUUUGUUAUUUGUUUUCUUUUGACGAUAGCCAUUCUGAGUUGGAGACUUUUAACUUGAUACCCAAAUGUUGAGAAGAAGCCAUUCAUUGGAAACCCAAGAGGAACAAUGCAGGCAGAGGCACUGUAGGUGCAAAGGCCCUCCAAGGCAAAAGCCUUGGCACAUUAUAAAAAAAAUCUUGUGGAAAGCAUGUGUGACUAAAGCAUCAGGACCAGCUGCUGUAGGAAGAAUGAAUUGAAGGGUUACAAAAUGGAAGAAUUUCUGAUCAGUUAUGGUAUCAUUUCAGAAGGCCAGGUGGGAGAUAAUAGUAGCUAUGGUGGUGGCCAUUAUGGUCGAUAAACAUGAUCAGAUUCAGGAAAUAUUUUAGAGGUAGAACCCACAGAGCAUAGAGAUGGAUUGGAUGGGUGGGGAUGAAGGAAAGGGAGGAAUCAAGAAAUAGCCCCAGGCUUCUGGUUUUAAUAACUGAAAGACUUUUAGUGCUAUUUAUUAGGAUGAUGAAGUUUGGAGUAGAACGAGAUAUAGGGUGGAAAAUUUUUUAAAAUUCCAUUUUAAACGUAUUAAGUUUGAGUCAUCUAAGCAGUUAGUUGCACAGCUGGAGUUCAAAGAAGAAAGCUGAGGACACAGAAAUUCAAGGUCUAAAACAAAAUGGUCAGUCCAUUUACAGUCAUGGAAAUGGAUGAGUUCCCCAAGAGAAAGUAUGGACAGAGAGGAAAAAAAGAAAGGGCUCUGGAAGGAUUCCAAGGAACUCCAGUGUUGAGGAGGUAGGGUAGAGAGGAUGAGGAGGAGCUGUCAGAAUAGAUCAAGAAGGAGCUACCAUUGGAAUGUGAGCAAUGUCAGCGACUCCGCUGUCCUGACCUGGACGGGGCAUCCCAAGGAAGGAAAAGCUGAGUUGAGUACUGUGCAGGAACCAAGCAUAAUGAGAACAGAAAACUACCAAUCUGGCUAGUACUGUAGAGGCCUUUGGUAAUCUGGCCAAUAGCGUUUCGGUUUAGCUGAAUAAUAAGAACAAGUAUAAACUGGCAGAGGGAAAAUGAGAGAUGAAGGAAGAACCUGUGGAUUCAAAGAGAUUUUUAAAAUAUCUCAACCAGUCCCAAUAUGUGGAACUGAUUUGGAUUCUGAUUUGUGAAGCAAAAGAGCUUAUUUGGAAAACAGAAACACAUUCACAGAUUUCAAAACCAAACUUAUGGUUCCUGUCAGUGAAACCGUUGAGGGGAGGGAAGAACUGGGAGGGUGGAGAUAACAUAUACACACUACUGUAUAAAACAUGAUUGACAGGAACCUACUGUAUAGCACAGGAAAAUCUACUCAAUAGUUUGUAAUAACCUAUAUGGGAAAAAAGAAUGGAUAUAUGUAUAUGUAUGACUGAUACACUUUGCUGUACACCUGAAACAAAUACAACAUUGUAAAUCAAUUAUACUCCAAUAAAACUAACUUAAAAAAAACACCAUUAUACAUUUCUGAAGUUCCCUCGUGGCUCAGCAGAUCAAGGAUCCGGCAUUGUCACUGCUUGCUAUAGCUAUGGUUAUAGCUUUGGUACAGGUUCGAUCCCUGGCCCAGAAACUUCUGCAUGCCCUGGGUGUGGCCAAAAUAAUUAUAUUUCUAAGAUAAUUGGAAAUUUGAGUGCUGUGGCUAGAUAAGUGGGAUAUUAAGAAAUGAUGUUAUAACGGUAUUGCAGGUUUUUUUUUUUUUGGCUGUCCC
RNAcentral lists this long non-coding RNA (5237 nucleotides) under Sus scrofa (pig). Its description in RNAcentral is "lncRNA (ENSSSCG00000058297.1)". Lineage: Eukaryota; Metazoa; Chordata; Mammalia; Artiodactyla; Suidae. The record is from RNAcentral.